AUGAACGCUGGCGGCGUGCUUAACACAUGCAAGUCGAACGAUGAAGCCCAGCUUGCUGGGUGGAUUAGUGGCGAACGGGUGAGUAACACGUGAGUAACCUGCCCUUAACUCUGGGAUAAGCCUGGGAAACUGGGUCUAAUACCGGAUAGGAGCGUCCACCGCAUGGUGGGUGUUGGAAAGAUUUAUCGGUUUUGGAUGGACUCGCGGCCUAUCAGCUUGUUGGUGAGGUAAUGGCUCACCAAGGCGACGACGGGUAGCCGGCCUGAGAGGGUGACCGGCCACGCUGGGACUGAGACACGGCCCAGACUCCUACGGGAGGCAGCAGUGGGGAAUAUUGCACAAUGGGCGCAAGCCUGAUGCAGCGACGCCGCGUGAGGGAUGACGGCCUUCGGGUUGUAAACCUAUUUCAGUAGGGAAGAAGCGAAAGUGACGGUACCUGCAGAAGAAGCACCGGCUAACUACGUG
Molecule: ribosomal RNA, 465 nt
Filed under: uncultured bacterium
Lineage: Bacteria
Description: partial 16S ribosomal RNA
Rfam family: Bacterial small subunit ribosomal RNA
Source: RNAcentral